RNAcentral lists this ribosomal RNA (253 nucleotides) under uncultured bacterium. RNAcentral describes it as "partial 16S ribosomal RNA". It matches the Rfam family "Bacterial small subunit ribosomal RNA", at positions 524 to 776 of the family's 1533-position model. The record is from RNAcentral.
GACGAAGGAUGCAAGCGUUAUCCGGAUUUAUUGGGCUUAAAGGGUGCGUAGGCGGCCCGGUAAGUCAGUGGUGAAAUCUCCUUGCUUAACAAGGAAACUGCCAUUGAUACUGCUGGGCUUGAGUACAGAUGCUGUGGGCGGAAUAUGACAUGUAGUGGUGAAAUACAUAGAGAUGUCAUAGAACACCGAUUGCGAAGGCAGCUCACAAAACUGUAACUGACGCUGAGGCACGAAAGUGCGGGGAUCAAACAGG